This 274-nucleotide ribosomal RNA is filed under the name uncultured bacterium. RNAcentral's name for it is "partial 16S ribosomal RNA". It matches the Rfam family "Bacterial small subunit ribosomal RNA", at positions 523 to 796 of the family's 1533-position model. The record is from RNAcentral.
AGACAGAGGUAGCAAGCGUUGUUGGGAUUUACUGGGCGUAAAGCGCUCGUAGGCGGUCGUGUAAGUCAGAUGAGAAAUCCCAGGGCUCAACCCUGGAACUGCAUUUGAAACUGCGUGACUUGAGGACAGGAGGGGGAAGUGGAAUUCCCGGUGUAGCGGUGAAAUGCGUAGAUAUCGGGAAGAACACCUGUGGCGAAGGCGGCUUCCUGGACUGUCCCUGACGCUGAGGAGCGAAAGCGUGGGUAGCAAACAGGAUUAGAUACCCCAGUAGUCC